UACGGGGGGGGUAAGCGUUGUUCGGAAUUACUGGGCGUAAAGGGCUCGUAGGCGGCCAACUAAGUCAGACGUGAAAUCCCUCAGCUUAACUGGGGAACUGCGUCUGAUACUGGAUGGCUUGGAUUCGGGAGAGGAAUGCGGAAUUCCAGGUGUAGCGGUGAAAUUCGUAGAUAUUAGGAAGAACACCGGUGGCGAAGGCGGCCCACUGGAUCGGUACUGACGCUGAGGUGCGAAAGCGUGGGGAGCAAACAGG
Molecule: ribosomal RNA, 253 nt
Filed under: uncultured bacterium
Lineage: Bacteria
Description: partial 16S ribosomal RNA
Rfam family: Bacterial small subunit ribosomal RNA
Source: RNAcentral